This 450-nucleotide ribosomal RNA is filed under the name uncultured bacterium. Its description in RNAcentral is "bacterial SSU rRNA". It matches the Rfam family "Bacterial small subunit ribosomal RNA", at positions 29 to 524 of the family's 1533-position model. The record is from RNAcentral.
AACGAACGCUGGCGGCAGGCCUAACACAUGCAAGUCGAACGCCGUAGCAAUACGGAGUGGCAGACGGGUGAGUAACACGUGGGAACGUACCCUUCGGUUCGGGAUAACUCAGGGAAACUUGAGCUAAUACCGGAUACGUCCGAGAGGAGAAAGAUUUAUCGCCGAGGGAUCGGCCCGCGUCUGAUUAGCUUGUUGGUGAGGUAACGGCUCACCAAGGCGACGAUCAGUAGCUGGUCNGAGAGGAUGAUCAGCCACAUUGGGACUGAGACACGGCCCAAACUCCUACGGGAGGCAGCAGUGGGGAAUAUUGGACAAUGGGCGCAAGCCUGAUCCAGCCAUGCCGCGUGAGUGAUGAAGGCCCUAGGGUUGUAAAGCUCUUUUACCCGGGAAGAUAAUGACUGUACCGGGAGAAUAAGCCCCGGCUAACUUCGUGCCAGCCGCCGCUGUAAU